GCUUGUCUCAAAGAUUAAGCCAUGCAUGUCUAAGUAUAAGCAUUAUACAGUGAAACUGCGAAUGGCUCAUUAUAUCAGUUAUAGUUUAUUUGAUAGUCCCUGCUAUUUGGAUAACCGUAGUAAUUCUAGAGCUAAUACAUGCACCAAGCAGCCCUCACGGGUUGUGUAUUUAUUAGAUGGAAACCAAUGCGGGGCAACCCGGAAUAUGGUGAAUCAUAAUAACUGUCGUAUCGAGCAAUCGAAGCGCCAUACAAGUUUCUGCCCUAUCAGCUUUGGAUGGUAGGGUAUUGGCCUACCAUGGCUUUAACGGGUAACGGAGAAUUAGGGUUCGAUUCCGGAGAGGGAGCCUGAGAAACGGCUACCACAUCCAAGGAAGGCAGCAGG
RNAcentral lists this ribosomal RNA (384 nucleotides) under Chromulina nebulosa. RNAcentral describes it as "partial small subunit ribosomal RNA". It matches the Rfam family "Eukaryotic small subunit ribosomal RNA", at positions 30 to 432 of the family's 1831-position model. Lineage: Eukaryota; Chrysophyceae; Chromulinales; Chromulinaceae. The record is from RNAcentral.